Molecule: ribosomal RNA, 252 nt
Filed under: uncultured bacterium
Lineage: Bacteria
Description: partial 16S ribosomal RNA
Rfam family: Bacterial small subunit ribosomal RNA
Source: RNAcentral
UACGAGGGGGCUAGCGUUGCUCGGAAUCACUGGGCGUAAAGCGCACGUAGGCGGAUUGCUAAGUCAGGGGUGAAAUCCUGGAGCUCAACUCCAGAACUGCCUUUGAUACUGGCGAUCUCGAGUCCGGGAGAGGUGAGUGGAACUGCGAGUGUAGAGGUGAAAUUCGUAGAUAUUCGCAAGAACACCAGUGGCGAAGGCGGCUCACUGGCCCGGUACUGACGCUGAGGUGCGAAAGCGUGGGGAGCAAACAGG